CUACCAGGAGGGAAGGAUCUCUUUCUGGAGAUUCCUCCUUUGGAGUUUUACAGUGAGUGUAAGAUAAAGAUGGAAAACUCUUUCAGCCUUAUCCUCAGAUGCACAACUCAGAUGCACCAUGAACAGUUCUGGAUACAGCACUGCAAGCAACUUCAUGGGCAUGAAUACUGGUAGGAACAAAUGAAGAGCAACACAAUAGGCCUUUCCAAGUCUGUUGGUGCGAAGUUAACAGAUGAGGGGAUCUGGACCUCACACAGAUUCUCUGCCAACUGCAGUACAUACCUCAUUGUCACUGAAUUCCAUCUCAUCCCACUACAAGAAGCCAUGACACAAACUGUAUCCUAUUCAUAAAUUCAAAUUGCACUUAUAACUACUGCAUUAUUUCCCUGUAUUCAUACUGAAAGGUUUUAUUCAGAAUCUUCUAACUUCCAGAUUCAAACUUCUCAUGAGCCUUUUGCUUUGGGUCUUACCGCCAAUAAAAAUAAAAAAAAAAAAAAGAGCUGUCCAUGUCCAUGGCAUUGGCAGAUUGGCAGACAGCAAUGCUGUUCCUCAAAGUGUUCUAUCUGCUGGAUGAUGUUUUGAUUUUAAAAAAAUUCUCUUUUCAUGAUUUAUUUAUUUGAUUUUCUUAACGACCCUUCCUUAAAUUCAUUCAAGUUUGAAUCUAUUUUUGUCACAUAGGAUCUUCCAAAAUGUGGACAGAAUUUGUGAUGAGAAAUCAGUGCUAUAGCAACCGUAUUUCAGUGUAUAUACUUGAGGUGCUUUAAGACACUUUUCUCAGAUAAUAUCCAGGUGGGUCCACAGGCUGCUACUGAGUCACAGUAGUAUUGAAAACAAUAUUCCCAAAUAUUUCUUCUUGUUUGCAACUGAUAAGAACUUUACAUAAUUUUGUGUGUGUUUCCUUAUGUCUAAAACAUGAAGAAAAAGGAUUUACUUUCACCUUUGUUUUUGUUCUUUUUUAUUUACAAAGAUAAAAUGGAUUUUUAUAAAGGAGAGAUAAAUAACUAAUAAUAAUAACAAGUAUACAAAUAAUUUUCCCUUCAGAGUGUUACCUAGUCCUGUGUAUUCUACAGUAUGUUUAUGAGUGCAUUGAAAUAUUUCUAAAACUGAAAUUGAGUUUUAUUGACAUAGAACAUAACUAGAGAUUAAGAACACACAUUGUACAAAAUUUCUUAUAUGGAUUUUCUUUCUUAUUUUAAUCUGUGCUUACAGUAACUCAUAUGAAUUUGGAUGUUCUUAAUGACUCAUGUAGUGUAAUUACUUCUUUACAAAAAUGUCGUUAGUUUUUUUUCCAGCCAUAUCUAAAGUGACCCUAUCCUAUCAUUUUGUGAUGUUUUUAUUCACUUCUUUUGAACAUUUACAAUGUUUAAUCAAAAUGUUCUUUAUCUGUUUUUUAAUUUGUUAAAAUUUGUCAUCAAUCUUCACACUUUGUAAGGCAGAAGGAAAUAGUGUCCAUCAUUAGAGCAAACCAUGGAACAUUCUUUUGAAAGAAGAAAUGAUUAAACCAGCUUAGUUA
Long non-coding RNA from Meleagris gallopavo (turkey), 1513 nucleotides. RefSeq lists it as uncharacterized. Lineage: Eukaryota; Metazoa; Chordata; Aves; Galliformes; Phasianidae. The record is from RefSeq and is a predicted model, not a curated record.